GGCCCGGGGGCCGCGAGGCUGCGCAGGUUGACGGGCCGGCGAGGCGGUGAGCUCUGGUCGGGAGCGCUCGACCGGCCGCGCCCGCGCUCACCUCGCCGCGCUCCCCGAAGCCCGCCCAGGAGGCACGUCCGCCGCUCCUGCCGCCCCGCACCCGCCACGGCCCCGCAAGGCACGGGGGAGAACGGUCGUAAAGUACCGGGUGUGACCACGCUGAUUGGCCCAGGGCUGGGCGUGUGACUUGUCAGAGCCAAUGAGAGGCAUCGAGACUCAGGCUAAACAUUCUGGAACGAAGAUACCCGUUCUUUUGUGCUGGACUCAAAGCCCCGGCGAGACGGGCCGGAGCAGCUGGCGCUCGCUCGCUGCGGUGGGGAACCUGAGCCUGAAGCCAACCUGCAGAACAGAGAGAAAUGGUGGGAGACUGAGUCCUGCAUCCAGCCAUCCCCGAAGCUGGGAUAAUCCCUGUACAAUACAGAAGUGCAGGCUUCCGUGGCUCAGCGUACUUCUUUUGCUUGUCACUCAGUUUUCUGUGACUUGCGGUUGAAAGAAUCCCAGUCAAUACCAGUAUUUACUACCACAUUUAACUAAUCCUAAAGCAUAGUUUUGUUUUCAUUUUAACAUCUCUGAGAUUAGGAGUGCAUCUUACAAUUAAUGGCAACAUCCUGUAGAGCCAUCGUUGUGAAUUUGAGAAACAGAAUAUUCGGGGGUUGUCUUCAACUGAGUUAGGGGUACUGUUGGUACUGCAUGUACUGCAUUUAGUGCUAUUUAAAAUGUCUUCAGAAGAUUAUAUUGUGAGUCAGCACUUGGAUAAAAAGUGAUUAGAGACAAAGGCAGGGUUACUGAGCAAAAGGGAGUGAAGUUACUGUUAGUGAAAUGACUUUUCUGUGUAGGAAUGACUGCCCAUUUCUUACAAAACAACAAGAAGUGCUUUAUACAACCUAAGAUAGGAAGUUACCCACAAGUAGAAGUUGUGUUACAUUUUGUUCCUGAGAUAGUGGUAAAAAAUGGCCUGUGUAUCAUACACCACACAAUGCAACUGAAGGCAGAAGAGAUUGUGGAAUCUCAGAAGAGAUGAGAGGAAUUUUAAAGCGAGGGGACUAUUAAGACACUGUGCGCUGUCUCAGCGCAGUCGCUGGUAUAUUUUCUUUGUGGUGCAUCUAUAACCACUGGAACACAUUAUCACUCCCAUUUGCGAAAACGCUGUUCAAGUCUCUUGCUUAAGGUUCCUACUGGUUAAGGGAAACAGAGAACUGAGGACAUCCGCCCAUCCCUGCCCUGCUGUCUGAGCACUCUGGCCUAGACUGGCUGAGUGGAGGGUUAGGCCACAGCUUCAAGUUCUCUGUAAUCACUCCAACCCUUCUGUGAAGUGUGGGACACAUCAUGUGUGUGGAAAUAGAGACCCCAGGUUAACUGCUCCUCUGUUGGUUUGCUGCCUAGAUGAUCUGUCCAGUACUGAGACAGGGAGUAAAAAAGGGGUUACGGCCCUUUACCACGUGGCGGCGCCAAAGAACAGCUUAUAAAGCCGAAUCCCUCAGUAAAGAUGUUCUGCAGGAAAGACAUUCCCAGCCUGGACUCCUUUUCUCUCUGGGAAACAAACACACAA
This is a long non-coding RNA of Cynocephalus volans (Philippine flying lemur), 1600 nucleotides long. RefSeq lists it as uncharacterized. The transcript has 5 exons. The record is from RefSeq and is a predicted model, not a curated record. Lineage: Eukaryota; Metazoa; Chordata; Mammalia; Dermoptera; Cynocephalidae.